Molecule: non-coding RNA, 205 nt
Organism: Oryza glaberrima (African rice)
Lineage: Eukaryota; Viridiplantae; Streptophyta; Magnoliopsida; Poales; Poaceae
Source: Rfam
AAUAUUUAACGCCGUUGACUUUUUUAAACAUGUUUGACCGUUCGUCUUAUUCUAAAAAUUUAAGUAAUUAUUAAUUAUUUUCUUAUCAUUUGAUUUAUUGUUACAUAUACUUUUAUGUAUACAUAUAGUUUUACAUAUUUCACAAAAGUUUUUAAAUAAGACGAACGGUCAAACAUGUUUAAAAAAGUCAACGGCGUCAAAUAUU